RNAcentral lists this long non-coding RNA (2442 nucleotides) under Anolis carolinensis (green anole). Its description in RNAcentral is "lncRNA (ENSACAG00000044691.1)". The record is from RNAcentral. Lineage: Eukaryota; Metazoa; Chordata; Lepidosauria; Squamata; Anolidae.
GCUCCUGCCAACCUAGCAGUUCACAAACAUGCCAAUGUGAGUAGAUCAAUAGGUACCGCUCCGGCGGGAAGGUAACGGCGCUCCAUGCAGUCAUGCUGGCCACAUGACCUUGGAGGUGUCUACGGACAAUGCCGGCUCUUUGGCUUAGAAAUGGAGAUGAGCACCAACCCCCAGAGUCAGACAUGACUGGACUUAACGUCAGGGGAAACCUUUACCUUUACCUUAGCAUAAUGCAACUCUUCAUUUUCUUCUAGGAAGACUUGGGCCUGCUAAAGACACUUAGUGUGUCGAUGUUCCAAGUAAUAUAUAGGAACAUUUGAACCUUUUAUCUCUUUUGCUAGUGAUAUCAGGGAAAGCUGGGAAAGCCCCUCCUGCCCAUGACAAACUGGUGUUCCUGUGAACCAGGACAAGUUCCAAAGUAGUUCAUUCUGUUCUUCAGAGGCAGCGCCAGUACAGCCCACAUAUUUAAUAGCUCUAAUGUCUUUGAUGCAUGAGAACCCAGGCUUAUACGUUUAUGGAGAAGAAGACAGAUCUCUCCUGGGAUUCCUUUGAAAAUAACAAGACAGACCUCAAAAUAUUACUUUUAAAGUGAAACAUUAGCAUUACUUUUGGUUAAAAGGGAUUCAUUGUCAUUUUUCAAAGUAAGUGCUGAAAUAUAAGUCUGUGUCAAUGUACUUAUGCCAUCGUCCCAGUUGUGCCUUUUCCCCUGCUUCACAGAAUCACAGAAUGGGAAGAGACCCCAAGGGUCAUGAUUUAUCCAGAUUUACCACAGAUUUAUCAAUCCUGGAAGGCCACGGAAUGGAAGUACCAGGAAAAGAGAAUGACAGCAAGGGGAGAAUGGCUGAUGCUGCCAUGGAAGUGUCAAGACUCACGGCACAAAUUAAGUCCCGGGACUGUGGUGUGAUCAGGGGCUCUUGACAGGGCUCUUCACAUUCUCUCGUAGACUACAGGGAGGUGAUAGACUGGUAAGAGAUAUUGCAUGACAUUGUGAGAUAGGGAGCAUCCCCUUGGUUUUACCACUUUUGUAUGGAACCUGCCAUGCUUCUCUGCAUCCUCUACAGAACACAUGGAGCCCCAAAGUGCACACUUGGAAAAGUUGCUUUUUUAGACUACUGCUCCCAGAGUCUGAGACCUUUUAUCGAGCUUAGGUGUAUCAUUGAAUCUCAAAUUAGGCCUCAGUUGUGUUACACAGUCGUUGUGCUGAAUGGUAAUGUUGUGCAACUGAACCAAGAUGCCAAAUGUGCAACUGAAUAAUACCAUAAUGAACAAGAUAUAGCCAUGUGUAAGGCACCUUUAUAUUCAAAUUGCUAAUGCAGUGUUUUCACAGCCUCGAUCUGAACACAGACAUUAUGCACGGGACAGGAAUCUCCAAUUGUUUCACAACUAACUUACGCACGAGUAGUGGUGUAAAUCCUGAACUGGACCAGAAUUUAAUUCAGGGACUUCUGGUCCUUAACAUGGGGUAAGCCGAUUUAGAUCUGCAACUCUCCAUUAAAUAAAACUGUGGAAUGCUCCAGAGUUUUGGUGAAUCCCCAGAAAAGCUCUGUGGAUAGUAGACUGGCUCCAAAAAGAACUGUUUGCUGUCCACCUGGGCCAGUAUUACAAUUCCCUUUUCUCAAAACAGGGAAAAGGGGGGCAGAUCAAGCCCCUUUUCAUAGAAUUAUAGAAUCAUACAGUUGUAAGAGACCUCAUGGGCCAUCUAGUCCAACCCCCUGCCAAGAAGCUGGAAAAUCGCAUUCAAAACACCUCCGACAGAUGGCCAUCCAACCUCUGCUUAAAAGCCUCCAAAGAAGGAGCUUGCUCCCUCCUCCCUAUGACUUCCCUUCACAUAUUUAUACAUGACCAUGAUGUCUCCUCUCAACCUUCUCUUCUGCAGGCUAAACAUGCCCAGUUCUUUAAGCCGCUCCUCAUAGGGCUUGUUAUCUAGACCCUUGAUCAUUUUAGUUGCCCUCCUCUGGACACAUUUCAGCAUGUCAAUUGUGGUGCUCUGUAUAACAUGGGAACUUUCCCAAAGCCCUUGAAACAUUUGGCAAAGUGAAGAUUCCUUUCUUCCACCCGCUUCUCUCUUUUUAAAAAGAAACAGAUUUAGAGAAAUCUGGCCAAAAACAUGCUGCUUAUUUGGGAGAUAUUAACAGUGGUCCCGCCUGGCCAACACCACUGGCAUUUCAAAAGUCUAGAAGUCUUCUCUUCAGGAACUAGUUUUAAAGUAUUAUGGAUUUUUAGGAAAUUGGCCAUCUGCUUGCUGUAGGGAUGUUAUGAAAACAUCUCUUUCCAGACAGAAUCUAGUCAAGGGUGUCUUCGAUUUUUUUGAUUUUGUUAAAGGUUUUGGUAGAUGCAAAUAGUCAGCAGGAACAGAGGUCUCAAUUACUGUGCUUGUACAGUGAGCAAUAUUCUGCCUUCUGGGGGAAACGUGUUAUGGAUGGCUUCCUAGGCAAACAUAUA